Molecule: long non-coding RNA, 230 nt
Organism: Ochotona princeps (American pika)
Lineage: Eukaryota; Metazoa; Chordata; Mammalia; Lagomorpha; Ochotonidae
Exons: 3
Source: RefSeq, a predicted model, not a curated record
CUGGAAGGAUUAUGAAAGCUCCAAGGAAUUGUUGGGCUCUCUGUGAGUCAUUCUUUCAGAUAUUUCUGAGCCAAGGGUGGUUGGAUUUGCAAUCGUGUAACCAGCAGAUCUGGAGGGCUAACUACAUUCCUAAAGAGGAAAAAACAAUCCAGAAGAUGCCACCAAGAGAAAAUCCUCUUCAGUGGAUGCCAGCCCAUCUCCCAAGGAUGCGUCCCAAUUCUCCACACCUC